UGACAAUGCAAGCAGAACAGAAAAGCCUCUUUUUUGUCACCUGGAACACAAAUGGUAUUAAAAAUACCAAGAAGGUGACUUAAUGAAAUGCUAGUCCACUGCAGGGCACCAUGCACACACACACAUGCACAUGCGCACACACACAUUCAAAAGCAAUUUAGUGCAGCCAGUUCAUCUACCUGAAUAUUUUGGACAGUGGAAGAAAACUGGAUAAUUAGAAGGAAACCCACACAAACACAGGGAUGUGAACACAUGAAACGUAACACAGACAGUAACCUGAGCUCAGGAUUGACACAGGGAUAGUUGGCAACACUAUCCAGUGAACCAGCAACAACAGCAUCAUAUUGCGCCCUUGGUGCUUUGGCCCUAAUGAUGCUAACCAUACAAAGUGCUUAAAAUGAUCAUGAGUUUCCUCAAGGCCUCCUGACAUGAAGGAGUAUCUAGCACACCCUUGCCUGUGACCUCACAUGACACUGCCUGAGUUCUGCACUAAAUUCUAUGUUUGUGUGUACAUUAGAAGUGAGAGCAGUUGAAUCAACUAUAUAGUAAGUAAUUAAAGUUGUGGCAAUAACUCUUCAUCAUCAUCAUCAUCUAUUGAGUUAAAUUUUCUGAAAAGCAGGAUGGAAAACUUGACUUGAGAAUUAGAAUCAAAUAGAUGAAAAAGUACAAUUUUGUGUUAGAAUGAAGCCCUGAAUGGACAUCUGGUAUUUUCCUUCAAAUAUGUUUUAUAAAUUAAUUUAUAGGUAAAGAAGCACAUUUAAAAGUGAUUUGAAUGUAGAGUGUUGUAUGUAUUAUGUAAUGAAAUCAAAGUUCUUCUGUGGAACUCAAUUUGUCCAUUUAUUAACCCCAUCCUCAAUCUGGCUCUCAGGAAGCUACAAGAUCUGAUUCUCAAAACUGACACAGUUCUCGACUAGUGUUUUCUUUAACAGAUAUGUACUUUAAUUUUGUGCCUUAUUUUCACAGGGAAUCCAGAAUUUGUCUUUCACAUAGGUUAGAUCUGACAAUGCAAAAGAAAAAGAUUUCUCAUGUUUCCAUAUGUAUGAAGGCAGUUUGACUGUAUUGAUUGUCUGCAUGGGAGUUGGAAGCAGGGACUAAACAUGAGAAGAAAACUGGAUGUGGACAUUUAGAUCAGUCUGUGUCUAAGGAUUACCGUCAUAACAUGCUGUGAGCAGUAGCUGUUCUGAGGUCAACACUGAGUGCACAAGUUGCCCAACCUGACCUAAGAUCAAGUGAUCAAGUGAUCAACCAGCAACAACAACAACAACAACAACAACAACAACAACAACAACAACAACAACAAACACAGGUGACUGCUGACACAAGGCUUCCAGCCAGGUAAUCUAUAUAAUAUAGUAUUUAUUUAGUGUUAGUAAGUAGAGAUGCACCGAUACUAAAUUUCUCAGCGAAUACCGAUAACCGAUUAUUCAGAGUGAUAUCAGCUGAUACCGAUAACCGAUACCGAUAGUUCUGCCUUUUAUGCCUUCUUUUAAAUUAAUCAAAGAAAAAGAAAAUAAAACCUUUAUUCUCUCCAUUUCAACAAGUUGUUUCACAGUAACUGGUCUUAAACAGAAAACACAUUACUCUAAUUAACAUUAACACAUGAACUAAAUUCUGAAGAUUAAAGUAAGAUUUCUUAACUUAUUGAAUGUUAUUAAUUCAUAUUAACAAAAUUAAUUGACUGAAUUCUAAAAAACCUUCUGUUAGUCUCACAUUCACUCACCACAAACAAAAACAUUUCUACGUCAUCACUGACAUCAAACUGGUAAUAUAUAAUAUCAACUUUUUCAUAUAUUAACAUUAAAUGGAUAUGGAAUAUACUACUCUACAAAUAUAUUUUUCUGUGCAAUAUAUACUUUUUUGUCAACUCAUAUUCAUUUAAAUCUUUCAACAGUGUACUGGUGCGUUAAUUCAGCUCGAGCAGCGUGGAAAUAAAAAAAAUUAGACUUGACGUCGAAACUCCCGUUUCACUGCUGCAGUGUCCGGUGUAAAAUUUUAGCAAUGCAGAGAUUACAGACUGCAGUUUUGUCAUCAUUCCACACAAAAUGCAUCUUCUUUACACACAGCAUGAAAUCAAUGUGUUUUCCCGCCCUCUUUUGAUAGACAGGAUAUAAUUGCUCCUGAUCACUGGAUGUUUUUAAACUAUCCCCGAUGGCCGAUAGCAUGAAAAAUUGCCUUUAUGGGCCUAUACAUAUCAUUGGCUGAUACAUCGGUGCAUCUCUAUUAGUUAGUAUUUACUGAAAACUGUAUUGAGAAUACAUAAUGAAUAGAUAACUGUGUUCAUAAAAAGACAUAUUGUCAAAAUUCAUUCAUAAAUGUAUGGCCUGAUAUGAAAGAAUGAAAAAAGCUGUAGUUUGAUGCUUGCUUUUAAACAUACAAUACAUAACAAACAUAAAAUAUAUGAAAUAAUUGUUAUUUUAAAUUGUCUAUUUUAUUUACAGAGGUUUAAUCAAAAAUGACAUCAAACGCUGAAACAAACCUCUGUUUUGUCUCCUGGAACACAAAUGGUAUUAAAAAAAGAUUGUAAAAAUAUUGGACGUUCUCUGUAACCUUCAAGCUGAUAUUGUUUUUCUACAAGAAACACAUGUUGGGCCAACAACAAAAUGUCUCCAAGCCAUUAAUAUUGUUAAAAACUGGGACGUCUACAAUACUGAAUACAGUUCUCAAAGCAAAGGAGUUGCAAUACUGAUAAAAAAAACAUACCAUUUGAGUACAUAUGCCAUGAUGAGGAUUGUAGUGGAGGUUACAUUGUGCUCUUCUGUCAUCUGUAUGGUGAACUGUACACUCUUGUUAACGUGUACAAGCAUAAGAAAGACAAAGUUGUCUUGAAUAGGCUGAAGGACUAUUUGAUGGCGAGAGCUGAGGGUGUGCUAGUGGUUGGAGGUGAUUUCAAUUCACUUUUAGAUCCCAGAGUAGAUCGCAAUCCUCCAAGGUCAAGAGAAUCACCAUCAAAAGUUUUAGAAGACUUUAUUGCAUCACUGAACCUCAGAGACACCUGGUCAAACAUACAUACUGAUAAUGAUACAGAGAGAUUUACAUUCAAAUAUCCUCGUGGUUUUUCCAGAAUAGACAUGUUUUUCCUGCAAAAUGCCACAAUAAAUCAAGUACUUAGCAUUACAGUUGAAAAAGGUUUUGAGGGACAAAAAAUGGAUCAUUUCCCUCUCGUCUUAAAACUCCCCACAAGGUUAAGGACAUAUGAAUACAAUCCUGACAGGUGCCAAGGAAAGAUUAGUCUUAAAGAAAUACUGAGUGCUAUAAAGUAUUUAACUGACAAAGAAGAACCCAGACCAAAUAUGAAUGAUGAGAAGGUCUACAAAAAAAAAUGCUGUACAAUGAAGAUUGACUACAAUAAAAUAUUAAAUACACUGAAGGUACCUAAAAAUUAUAAACCUUCAGGAGACAACAACAUGGAAUAUUUGAUAUUUUCAGAAAUUUUGGCCAAGCGCCUCUUGCCAUUCAGUUCAUGUGAAACUGAUAACUGUGCCACUGUGAACAUUGAGAGCCCACAGGAAAUCAAGUGGUCUUACCUGAAGACAAUAUUUGAUAAGAUAGAUUAUUGUUAUUAUAAAGAGAAAGACCCAAAACAGGCCCCGUUUGCCCCCCCACCAGACCUCCGCAUUCUGGAUCGUCUUCUUCCUAAAGUCCAAAACUCUACUGAGGAUCUCAGAGUUUUACAGCCUAACUGUCCACUAGCCAAUGCUAUCCUCAAUCUGGCAAAUAAACAGCUGGUUGAUAUGCUUCAGUUGUUCCAGAAUGAUUCAGGACUGAAGUUAAAUACUGUACUUCAUGUACUCAAACAAACACACACACACAAAUAAGUCACUUUGAGCCUAAAUAAUUGAAGAACUUUUAAAGGGCCUUUAACAGCAAUUAGAACAUUAAGCACAGGACAGGUUGAGAAGUUUUAUUCCCCCUCUACAGCAGCUACAUCACAAAUUGUGCUACAACCUCUCUAUAAACAUCAGAGGUACACAUCUAUUUUAUGUCCAGAUGAAAAAAAAACAAAAAACAAUACUUAUGCUGGCUUUUAUCUCUUAUGCAUUACUUUAUUAUAUUUAAUUAUGAUUGCUAUUAUGAUUUUGUUGAUAGUAGCACAGUGGGUAAUCACUGUCCAUCACUAGUCCGAAUUAAAAUAGAUUCAGAAAAUAUCAGGGAUUUCAGGCACUAUCUACAGUUACUUUGAUUUGCUUAGAUUGGUUUAGCUUUGCUUCACGAGCUGGGAAUAUUGUAUUAAUUUCUAAGUUGUUAGGGUGUAUUUGUACACGUAAAAUGAAACUUUUAUUUAAAAUGUUUAAAAUUUGUAUAGGAUAUAAGAUUUGUAAUUAAUUUUGUUGUUGAGUUUUGUAAAUUAUUACAGCAAUGGUGCAGUGCUUUGUGCAAUCACAUUAUAUAUACAUUAACAGUGUCUUUCUUUUUUUUGCCUUCUUUUUUUUUUGCCUUUGUCAAGAAUAAUGCUACAUUCAUGUUUACUGUGUUUAUGAGAUACUUAUAUUUGAAAAAAAAGGCAUCCUUAAUAUGUAAUAUUUCUUUCUUGGAGAUGUUUGGCUAUCCUAAUAGACAUUAUGGAAGUUUGUACAGAUGUGCAUCAUGUUUGCUUGGUUGUGUAUUAAUCUGUUACUUCCAUCCCAGCUUUAAUUGAAGACUUUCUGCUGCAAGGCAUUCACCACUAAGUAUUAUUUUAGAAGCUUUUACGGCAUCUCUGAAUCUUAGAGACACCAUGCCUUCACUUUACUGAUGAGGGCUUUACACAGUUUCACAACAAGUCAUUCCUGGAUAAACUUUAGACACAAUGGGAAAAUACAAACUACAGAGCUAUAGAGUUAAACUACAGAAAGUUUUGAUAAAUGUCCUCUUGUACUAAAAGAGCAAAUACAUUUAAAACAGAACAAAACAAAAAACUCUGGAGAGAGAUACAGACACAGAGUGAAAUAAAAAUGCCCACUGAUGAUAUCAUUAAAUCUACUGAAGUAACAGUUUCGAAGUAGGAAGUGAAACGUGUAUGUGGUGAACACAGACGAGAGGAGUGAUACACACAGUGAAACAUUCCAGUGCGGUUAUAGGAAAUAUAUUCGCUCUUGGAAUGCCGCACGACCAAUCAGAUUAGUGGAACUAACUGUUGUAUAAAGGUUCAUAAUCUAUCAGCAUACAUGCUUCUCUACUUCCUGUGUCUGUUAGCACAACAUUAUGGAAUAAAAACAAUUUCUGUAUAAUCAUCUUUGGCUACAUCUUUGCAUGAUUUAGGCAUGUCCAUACAUUCUCCAAAUCAUAUUUAUAUAGUGUAUGUUAUUCACUGUUAAAUAUUUUAAUUACAUAUUUACACUAUUUGCAGUUAUCUGCAAGCAUAAUAUGUUUUUAACAUGUUACCAUCAGGCCAGAAAUGUAUAGGUCUACUAUGAAAAGAUAAUAUUCG
Ictalurus punctatus (channel catfish) is the source of this 5407-nucleotide long non-coding RNA. Lineage: Eukaryota; Metazoa; Chordata; Actinopteri; Siluriformes; Ictaluridae. The record is from Ensembl.